RNAcentral lists this unclassified non-coding RNA (1228 nucleotides) under Hevea brasiliensis (rubber tree). The record is from RNAcentral. Lineage: Eukaryota; Viridiplantae; Streptophyta; Magnoliopsida; Malpighiales; Euphorbiaceae.
AAAGAUACAAGAGUUGAAAUUAAGAAAUUCAUUUUGACAUCCAAACCCUCAACUCUAAAAUGAAAGCAACUACAAACAAGAUAGCAAGAACAAUCCCAUAGCCAGCAUUCCAAGAACUUCCCUCCUCACCUAGAUGAAUUCCAUAGAACACAUUUGCUAUUGCAAAUACCAUCAAUAUCCUCCCCACGCUAUAAUGAUACCAAUUCCAAUACUUUCGCACUUUCAAUGCCUUGUCUGGUCUUGCCAAAAAUGCCAUCAUCUGGAGGGAUCCAAGAACAAGAAUGAAGAUGCCAAGGCCUUUAUGGGUAGAGACAUCAGCAUUGAGACGAUCUUCCAGGACAAACCCACAAAUGACUCCUGCUAAGCCCAGUAGAAAUCCCAAAGAUUGAAUGGCAGUAUGAAGAUAGAACCAAAUAGGAUCCCAUUGCUUGCAGUAGCGAGCAACUAUUGCUCCUAUUAUCAUCAUAAUUCCCCAUCCAAGCAUAUUCAGUAUCCCAUGGCUCUUUCUUAGUCCACUUUGAGGGUUAUUGUUGCUAGUCGCACCUGUCACGUAAUUCAAAGCCGUAGACACCUUAUCUUGGUGCUCCAUCAACUGGUAGCCUGGUGCCGACGGGAAUCUACCGACCGGUCCAAGGGAAUAAAUCAACCGGGAAGACGGCUGAUCGAUGCUCAACUGGAAGGCUAAGUACAAACGUGACGAUUGAGAUGUGAUCAUGGAAUAUGUAAUAUUUAGGUUGCCUGAGUCAGGUACUACUUGAGUCGGAGUUUGCCCUCCUAAGUAGUACUGUUUUAUCAUCGCUGAACCAUCCGUCGACGAUACCCAACCCACGAUUGCGCUCGAUCCCACCAUUAAACCGCUGCUUGAGAAUCCUAUUCCGACGUAAGAACUUGCGUCUGGUGCUGAGAGGACAAAGCUCCAUAGAUUCUGAGAUGUUUGCACAAAUCGAAGGAUGUAGUUGUGAGCAUUCCAUACAGAAGCGCAGUGGAGAGAUGCAAUAUCAAAGGGAAGCUGUCUAUUGAGGUUCAGAUUUGAGCUGCAAGAAUCGGUUUGUGAGUUUACCAAGAUUGAUAAAGAAGAUAAGGUGGUGAAGAAGAUGACCAUGGAAAUGGAAGAAGCCUUCAUAUCUUUGUGUGUGUAUUCCAAUUCUUUGAUCUCUUGGAUAUUAGUUGGGGUUGGUGAAGUGGGAUCUUAAUUAAAGGGGAAAGUAGUGGUUGAUCAUCCGCAAAG